UUUAAAUACAACCGUGAGUUUCCGUGUCCAACUUUAAUCCGUCCAUCUUAUUUCAUAUUUUUUAUAAUUAAUAUUUUUAUUAUUAUGAGAUGAUAAAACGUAAAUAGUACUUUAUGCAUCACUUAUGUUUUUAAAUUAAAUUAAAUAAGACAGACGAUUAAAGUUGGACACGGAAAAUCAUGGUGCACUUAAA
This is a non-coding RNA of Oryza barthii, 193 nucleotides long. The record is from Rfam. Lineage: Eukaryota; Viridiplantae; Streptophyta; Magnoliopsida; Poales; Poaceae.